RNAcentral lists this unclassified non-coding RNA (378 nucleotides) under plant metagenome. Its description in RNAcentral is "partial contains 5.8S ribosomal RNA, internal transcribed spacer 2, and large subunit ribosomal RNA". The stretch from base 1 to 105 matches the Rfam family "5.8S ribosomal RNA", at positions 50 to 154 of the family's 154-position model. The record is from RNAcentral.
GAAAUGCGAUAAGUAAUGUGAAUUGCGGAAUUCAGUGAAUCAUCGAAUCUUUGAACGCACCUUGCGCUCCUUGGUAUUCCUUGGAGCAUGCCUGUUUGAGUAUCAUGAAAUCUUCAAAGUAAAUCUUUUGUUAACUCAAUUGGUUUCUACUUUGGUAUUGGAGGUCUUUGCAGCUUCACACCUGCUCCUCUUUGUUCAUUAGCUGGAUCUCAGUGUUAUGCUUGGUUCCACUCGGCGUGAUAAGUUAUCUAUCGCUGAGGACACUGUAAAAGGUGGCCAAGGUAAAUGCAGAUGAACCGCUUCUGAUAGUCCAUUGACUUGGACAAUACUUUUAUGAUCUGAUCUCAAAUCAGGUAGGACUACCCGCUGAACUUAAGC